CGGACGCAUUUAUCGUUGGUGGGGCAGCAAUGGUUAAUUCCAGGUCACAAAGUUGGGCAACAAUAUUUGAUGAUUAUGCAAAUGAUGUCAUACUGCCUUACAUAAAAUCUUGCAUCGAUAAGUAUUCAAGAGUAGACAUUGUAUUUGAUGUUUACUAAAUGAAUAAUUUAAAGGCUGUGACAAGACAAAGGCAAGGUUUUUGUGCCAGAUGGAAAGGUGUUGGUUCUGGUAGAACACCAA
This 240-nucleotide long non-coding RNA is filed under the name Mytilus galloprovincialis (Mediterranean mussel). The record is from RNAcentral. Lineage: Eukaryota; Metazoa; Mollusca; Bivalvia; Mytilida; Mytilidae.